RNAcentral lists this ribosomal RNA (346 nucleotides) under uncultured bacterium. Its description in RNAcentral is "partial 16S ribosomal RNA". It matches the Rfam family "Bacterial small subunit ribosomal RNA", at positions 338 to 681 of the family's 1533-position model. The record is from RNAcentral.
CCUACGGGAGGCAGCAGUGAGGAAUAUUGGGCAAUGGACGAGAGUCUGAACCAGCCAAGUAGCGUGAAGGAUGACUGCCCUAUGGGGUGGAAACUUCGUGUAUAGGGGAAUAAAACGUUACACGUGUGGGAUUUUGUAUGUACCAUAUGAAUAAGGAUCGGCUAACUCCGUGCCAGCAGCCGCGGUAAUACGGAGGAUCCGAGCGUUCUCCGGAGUUAUUGGGUUUAAAGGGAGCGUAGGUGGAUUGUUAAGUCAGUUGUGAAAGUUUGCGGCUCAACCGUAAAAUUGCAGUUGAAACUGGCAGUCUUGAUUACAGUCGCGUUGGGCGGACUUCGUGGUGUAGCGG